RNAcentral lists this ribosomal RNA (593 nucleotides) under Chaetomium sp. INBI 2-26(-). RNAcentral's name for it is "eukaryotic LSU rRNA". It matches the Rfam family "Eukaryotic large subunit ribosomal RNA", at positions 1 to 605 of the family's 3401-position model. Lineage: Eukaryota; Fungi; Ascomycota; Sordariomycetes; Sordariales; Chaetomiaceae. The record is from RNAcentral.
GUUGACCUCGGAUCAGGUAGGAAGACCCGCUGAACUUAGCAUAUCAAUAGGCGGAGGAAAAGAAACCAACAGGGAUUGCCCUAGUAACGGCGAGUGAAGCGGCAACAGCUCAAAUUUGAAAUCUGGCCUCGGCCCGAGUUGUAAUUUGUAGAGGAAGCUUUAGGCGCGGCACCUUCUGAGUCCCCUGGAACGGGGCGCCACAGAGGGUGAGAGCCCCGUAUAGUUGGAUGCCUAGCCUGUGUAAAGCUCCUUCGACGAGUCGAGUAGUUUGGGAAUGCUGCUCAAAAUGGGAGGUAAAUUUCUUCUAAAGCUAAAUACCGGCCAGAGACCGAUAGCGCACAAGUAGAGUGAUCGAAAGAUGAAAAGCACUUUGAAAAGAGGGUUAAAUAGCACGUGAAAUUGUUGAAAGGGAAGCGCUUGUGACCAGACUUGCGCCGGGCGGAUCAUCCGGUGUUCUCACCGGUGCACUCCGCCCGGCUCAGGCCAGCAUCGGUUCUCGCGGGGGGAUAAAGGCCCCGGGAACGUAGCUCCUCCGGGAGUGUUAUAGCCCGGGGCGUAAUGUCCUCGCGGGGACCGAGGACCGCGCAUCUGCC